RNAcentral lists this transfer RNA (75 nucleotides) under Candidatus Magasanikbacteria bacterium CG_4_10_14_0_2_um_filter_37_12. Its description in RNAcentral is "tRNA-Arg". It matches the Rfam family "tRNA". Rfam says of the family: Transfer RNA (tRNA) molecules are approximately 80 nucleotides in length. Their secondary structure includes four short double-helical elements and three loops (D, anti-codon, and T loops). The record is from RNAcentral. Lineage: Bacteria; Candidatus Magasanikiibacteriota.
GGGCCCGUAGUUAAAUGGAUAUAACAGGAGCCUUCUAAGCUCUAGUUCGAGGUUCGAUUCCUCGCGGGCCCACAA